Molecule: ribosomal RNA, 484 nt
Filed under: uncultured bacterium
Lineage: Bacteria
Description: partial 16S ribosomal RNA
Rfam family: Bacterial small subunit ribosomal RNA
Source: RNAcentral
AUUGAACGCUGGCGGCAUGCUUUACACAUGCAAGUCGAACGGCAGCACGGGGGCAGCCCUGGUGGCGUGUGGCCAACGGGCGAGUAGUACACCGGAACGUGCCCGGCCGAUGGGGAUAACGUAGCUACAGGUACCCUAAUAUCGCACACGAUCAUAGGAUGAAACGGGGGGAUCUUCGGUCCUAGCCGGACUGGAGCGCCCGUUGUCAGAUUAGGUAGUUGGUUGGGUAAAGGCCUACCAAGCCGACGAUCUGUAGCAGGUCUGAGAGGACGACCAGCCACACUGGGACUGAGACACGGCCCAGACUCCAACGGGAGGCAGCAGUGGGGAAUUUUGGACAAUGGGCGAAAGCCUGACGCAGCCAUUCCGCGUGAAGGACGAAGGCCUUCGGGUUGUAAAAUGCUUUUGUACGGAACGAAAAGGCUCUGGCUAAUACCUGGGGCUCAUGACGGUACCGAAAGAGUAAGCACCGGCUAACUACGUG